GUGCUUGCUUUGGCAGUACAUAUAUUAAAAUUGGAACAAUACAAAGAUCAGCAUGGCCCCUGUGUAAGGAUGACAUGCAAAUGCCUGAAGCAGUCCUUAUUUUU
Molecule: small nuclear RNA, 104 nt
Organism: Cricetulus griseus (Chinese hamster)
Lineage: Eukaryota; Metazoa; Chordata; Mammalia; Rodentia; Cricetidae
Source: Ensembl